GGGAAAACCUGGACCUGAUGGAGUCCCGGGUUCCCUGGGCCCAAAGGGGCUGCCUGGGAAGCCUGGCUCGGAGGGGCCACAAGGACCUGUUGGCACCUAUGGCUACCCAGGACCUGCUGGUGACCGUGGGAGGCCAGGGCGCAGGGGGGACA
This is a long non-coding RNA of Melopsittacus undulatus (budgerigar), 152 nucleotides long. RefSeq lists it as uncharacterized. The transcript is spliced from 3 exons. NCBI's taxonomy places the organism in Eukaryota, Metazoa, Chordata, Aves, Psittaciformes, Psittaculidae. The record is from RefSeq and is a predicted model, not a curated record.